GCGGACGGGUGAGUAAUGUCUGGGAAACUGCCUGAUGGAGGGGGAUAACUACUGGAAACGGUAGCUAAUACCGCAUAACGUCGCAAGACCAAAGAGGGGACCUUCGGGCCUCUUGCCAUCGGAUGUGCCCAGAUGGGAUUAGCUAGUAGGUGGGGUAACGGCUCACCUAGGCGACGAUCCCUAGCUGGUCUGAGAGGAUGACCAGCCACACUGGAACUGAGACACGGUCCAGACUCCUACGGGAGGCAGCAUG
Molecule: ribosomal RNA, 253 nt
Filed under: uncultured bacterium
Lineage: Bacteria
Description: partial 16S ribosomal RNA
Rfam family: Bacterial small subunit ribosomal RNA
Source: RNAcentral